This 467-nucleotide ribosomal RNA is filed under the name uncultured bacterium. RNAcentral's name for it is "partial 16S ribosomal RNA". It matches the Rfam family "Bacterial small subunit ribosomal RNA", at positions 28 to 507 of the family's 1533-position model. The record is from RNAcentral.
GAUGAACGCUGGCGGCGUGCUUAACACAUGCAAGUCGAACGAUGAUGCCCAGCUUGCUGGGUGGAUUAGUGGCGAACGGGUGAGUAACACGUGAGUAACCUGCCCUUUACUCUGGGAUAAGCCUGGGAAACUGGGUCUAAUACCGGAUACGAACAUCUGGCGCAUGUUAUGGUGGUGGAAAGCUUUUGUGGUUUUGGAUGGACUCGCGGACUAUCAGCUUGUUGGCGGGGUAAUGGCCUACCAAGGCGACGACGGGUAGCCGGCCUGAGAGGGUUACCGGCCGCACUGGGACUGAGACACUGCCCAGACUCCUCCGGGAGGCAGCAGUGGGGAAUAUUGCACAAUGGGCUCAAUCCUUAUGAAGCGACGCCGCGUGAGGGAUGACGGCCUUCGGGUUGUAAACCUCUUUCAGUAGUGAAGAAGCGAAUGUGACGGUACCUGCAGAAGAAGCUCCGGCUAACUACGUG